Molecule: long non-coding RNA, 2497 nt
Filed under: Brassica rapa (field mustard)
Lineage: Eukaryota; Viridiplantae; Streptophyta; Magnoliopsida; Brassicales; Brassicaceae
Description: long non-coding RNA (BRAP_LNC000087)
Source: RNAcentral
UGAGGUUGAUGUUGAUGUUAUAAUGAGUUUUAUAGGGACUUUCUUGAUGUAAAACUAUACAUUUUUAUUUUUUUUUGUUUAAUAUGGUAUUUCCAUUUUAAUAUAAUUUACUACCAUUUUAAGAUAGAUGUACAUUUUAAGAUAGAUGCUUAAAUCUUAAUGUUCUUUUUCUAUUUUUUAAAAUGUUUAUUUCCAUUUCUUAAAUUUUUUACGUAAUAUCUAUAUUUUAUAUUUUAAAAUAGAUAUUUAAAUCUUAAUGUACUUUUUCCAUUUUUUCAAAUUGUGUAUUAACUUAUAUUAUAUAUUUUACAUUUUAAGAUAGAUGCUUAAUGCUUAAUGAACUUUUUCCAUUUUUUUAAAAAAGUUGUGUAUUUACUUAUUAUUAUAUAGAUAAUUCAUAUAUUAUAUAUUUACAUUAUUUACUUAUUAUUUAUUGAUAAUUCAUAUAUUAUAUAUAUUUAAUGCUUAAUGUUUAUUUCCACUUCAUGACUUUUUAUUUACUUAAUAUCUCUAUUUUACAUUUUAAGAUAGAUGUUUAAAUCUUAAUGUACGUUUUCCUUUUUUUUUUAAAAUUGUAUAUUUCCAUUUGUUAUACUUUCUAUUUACGUAAUAUCUAUAUUUUAAAUUUUAAGAUAUAUUUUUAAAUCUUAAUGUAAUUUUCCAUUUUUUAAAUUGGGUAUUUACUUAUAUUAUAUAUUUACUUAUGAUUUAUUUUUCUUUAUAUUGUGUAUUUCUAUUUCUUAUACUUUCUAUUUACUAAUAAUUUUAUAUUUUAAGAUAGAUUUACAUUUUAAGAUAGAUAUUUAAAUACUAAUGUACUUCUUCCAUUUUUUUAAAUUGUGUAUUUCCUUUUCUUAUACUUUCUAUUUGGGUAAUAUCUAUAUUUUACAUUUUAAGAUAGAUGUUUAAAUCUUAAUAUACUUUUUCCAUUGUUUUUAAGUUGUGUAUUUCUUUUUCUUAUAGUUUAUAUUUACUUAAUAUCCAUAUUUUACAUUUUAAGAUAGAUGUUUAAAUCUUAAUGUAUUUUUCCAUUUUUAAUGUAAAACGGCAAUGUUUAAUACAAGAACUUGGACAAAUAGUCAAAUAGUUAUAUUUAUGUUUUUUUUUCUUUUUUAUAUAAAAUGGUAAUGUUACAUUAUGAAGAUAAGCCAUUUCUUUUAGUGAAAAUGGUAAUCUUACAUAUGUUUAAUGUAGUUUUUCUAUUUUUUUAUGUUGUAUGUUUACUUAUUAUUGUUAUUUUUAAAUGUAAAAUGGUAAUCUUACAUAUGAUUAAUGUAUUAUUUCCAUUUUUUAUGUUGUAUGUUUACAUAUUAUUUAUUAUUUUCUAAAUUAUAUAUGGAGAUAAACCGUCUUUUUUUUAGUGAAAAAUGGUAUUUUACAUAUGUUUAAUGUAGUUUUUCCAUUUUUAUGUUGUAUGUUUACAUUUUAUUUUUUAAAAAUAAAAAUGUAAAAUGAUAAUCUUACAUAUGUUUAAUGUAGUAUUUCCAUUUUUUAUGUUGUAUUUUUACAUAUAUUUAUUAUUUGCAAAAUUAUAUAGAAUGUUUUUUGUUUUUUUUAUAAAACGGUAAUGUUACAUUAUGAAGAUAAGCCGUUUUUUUUUAAGUGAAAAAUGAUAAUCUUACAUAUUUUUAAUGUAGUUUUUCCAUUUUUUGUGCUGUAUGUUUACAUAUUAUUUAUAAUUUUCGAAAAUUAGUAAAAUUAAAAUGUAAAACUAUAUUUUAUGCAACUUGUCAUCUUUCGGGAGAAGUUUUUUUUGCUGAUGUGGACGCUCUAUGGAGCCUUAAAAGGUCAAUUUUAUUAGUAUUUUUUUUAUAAAACGGUAAUGUUACAUUAUGGAGAUAAACCGUCUUUUUUUUAAGUGAAAAAUGGUAAUCUUACAUAUCUUUAAUGUAGUUUUUUCAUUUUUUAUGCUGUAUGUUUACAUAUUAUUUAUAAUUUUCGAAAAUUAGUAAUAUUAAAAUGUAAAACUAUAUUUUAUGCCACGUGUCAUCUUUCGGGAGAAGUUUUUUUGCUGAUGUGGACGCUCUAUGGAGUCUCAAAAGGUCCCUUUUAUUAGUAUAGAUUUUUAAUGUAGUUUUUCCAUUUUUUGUGCUGUAUGUUUACAUAUUAUUUAUAAUUUUCGAAAAUUAGUAAAAUUAAAAUGUAAAACUAUAUUUUAUGCAACUUGUCAUCUUUCGGGAGAAGUUUUUUUUGCUGAUGUGGACGCUCUAUGGAGCCUUAAAAGGUCAAUUUUAUUAGUAUUUUUUUUAUAAAACGGUAAUGUUACAUUAUGGAGAUAAACCGUCUUUUUUUUUAAGUGAAAAAUGGUAAUCUUACAUAUCUUUAAUGUAGUUUUUUCAUUUAUUAUGCUGUAUGUUUACAUAUUAUUUAUAAUUUUCGAAAAUUAGUAAUAUUAAAAUGUAAAACUAUAUUUUAUGCCACGUGUCAUCUUUCGGGAGAAGUUUUUUUGCUGAUGUGGACGCUCUAUGGAGCCUCAAAAGGUCCCUUUUAUUAGUAU